AGCAGCCGCGGUAAUUCCAGCUCCAAUAGCGUAUAUUAAAGUUGUUGCAGUUAAAAAGCUCGUAGUUGAAUUUCAAGCCUGGCUGGACGGUCCGCCCUUCGGGUGAGUACUGUCUGUGGUCGGGUCCUACCUUCUGGCGAAGCGUCAUGGCCUUAACCGGCCGUGGCGGGGAACCAGGACUUUUACUGUGAAAAAAUUAGAGUGUUCAAAGCAGGCAAUCGCUUGGAUACAUUAGCAUGGAAUAAUGGAAUAGGACAAUGGUUCUAUUUGUUGGUUUCUAGGACCGUUGUAAUGAUUAAUAGGGAUAGUUGGGGGCAUUAGUAUUCAAUUGUCAGAGGUGAAAUUCUUGGAUUUAUUGAAGACUAACUACUGCGAAAGCAUUUGCCAAGGAUGUUUUCAUUAAUCAAGAACGAAAGUUAGGGGAUCGAAGACGAUCAGAUACCGUCGUAGUCUUAACCAUAAACUAUGCCGACUAGGAAUCGGGCGAUGUUGAAAAAAUGACGCGCUCGGCACCUCAUG
This 519-nucleotide ribosomal RNA is filed under the name uncultured Glomeromycotina. RNAcentral describes it as "SSU rRNA". It matches the Rfam family "Eukaryotic small subunit ribosomal RNA", at positions 569 to 1092 of the family's 1831-position model. Lineage: Eukaryota; Fungi; Glomeromycota. The record is from RNAcentral.